Long non-coding RNA from Hirundo rustica (Barn swallow), 571 nucleotides. RefSeq lists it as uncharacterized. Lineage: Eukaryota; Metazoa; Chordata; Aves; Passeriformes; Hirundinidae. The transcript is spliced from 3 exons. The record is from RefSeq and is a predicted model, not a curated record.
CUAGUUCUGAGAGGGAAGGGGGAGAGAAAAGAUGCAUGGAAUUUGUUUUGAAAACAGCAUUCACUCCUCUGCAUUCCUGCUCUUGGACUAUGCUUGUCUGAGGCACAGAGACCUGUUUUGCUCUUAGUUAGUUUUAGCUAGAACAGAAGUGUUUCCAUGCAAGCUGAAAGCACCAGUGUGAAGCUGCAUCAAAGAUGUGUCUCGUUGCUGUCAAGUGGCUCCUGUAAGCCAGCAGUGCUGUCACCCGUGCAGAGACUGCUCCAUGCACAUCCUUCCCAGCUUUUCUGAAAAUCCAGACUUCCAUCUUCCCGGUGUUGUAUAACUGUCCAUCCUCCUCCAGCAAUUUCCAUAUUGCAAAAGACCUAGGCAGUAAAUAAAAAAGAAAAACUUAAAAACCCAAACAAAAAAAAAUAAAACAAGUUUGCAUUGGAAUUCUGGCAUCUUAGGCAGGGAAGUAUUUGUGAAUAAGAGUAUUAAGGAAGUGUGUUUUUCUAUGUACUCAUGCCCUAUUCCUUCAAUGACCUCUUCAGUCAUUUGACGACAACCAGUUCUCUGGUUAUGUUUAGUGUUA